AAACCGCAUGGUUUUGAUUUGAAAGGCGCUUUCGGGUGUCGCUGAUGGAUGGACCCGCGGUGCAUUAGCUAGUUGGUGAGGUAACGGCUCACCAAGGCCACGAUGCAUAGCCGACCUGAGAGGGUGAUCGGCCACAUUGGGACUGAGACACGGCCCAAACUCCUACGGGAGGCAGCAGUAGGGAAUCUUCGGCAAUGGACGAAAGUCUGACCGAGCAACGCCGCGUGAGUGAAGAAGGUUUUCGGAUCGUAAAACUCUGUUGUUAGAGAAGAACAAGGAUGAGAGUAACUGUUCAUCCCUUGACGGUAUCUAACCAGAAAGCCACGGCUAACUACGUGCCAGCAGCCGCGGUAAUACGUAGGUGGCAAGCGUUGUCCGGAUUUAUUGGGCGUAAAGCGAGCGCAGGCGGUUUCUUAAGUCUGAUGUGAAAGCCCCCGGCUCAACCGGGGAGGGUCAUUGGAAACUGGGAGACUUGAGUGCAGAAGAGGAGAGUGGAAUUCCAUGUGUAGCGGUGAAAUGCGUAGAUAUAUGGAGGAACACCAGUGGCGAAGGCGGCUCUCUGGUCUGUAACUGACGCUGAGGCUCGAAAGCGUGGGGAGCAAACAGGAUUAGAUACCCUGGUAGUCCACGCCGUAAACGAUGAGUGCUAAGUGUUGGAGGGUUUCCGCCCUUCAGUGCUGCAGCUAACGCAUUAAGCACUCCGCCUGGGGAGUACGACCGCAAGGUUGAAACUCAAAGGAAUUGACGGGGGCCCGCACAAGCGGUGGAGCAUGUGGUUUAAUUCGAAGCAACGCGAAGAACCUUACCAGGUCUUGACAUCCUUUGACCACUCUAGAGAUAGAGCUUCCCCUUCGGGGGCAAAGUGACAGGUGGUGCAUGGUUGUCGUCAGCUCGUGUCGUGAGAUGUUGGGUUAAGUCCCGCAACGAGCGCAACCCUUAUUGUUAGUUGCCAUCAUUCAGUUGGGCACUCUAGCAAGACUGCCGGUGACAAACCGGAGGAAGGUGGGGAUGACGUCAAAUCAUCAUGCCCCUUAUGACCUGGGCUACACACGUGCUACAAUGGGAAGUACAACGAGUCGCGAAGUCGCGAGGCUAAGCUAAUCUCUUAAAGCUUCUCUCAGUUCGGAUUGCAGGCUGCAACUCGCCUGCAUGAAG
RNAcentral lists this ribosomal RNA (1155 nucleotides) under Enterococcus faecium. RNAcentral describes it as "bacterial SSU rRNA". It matches the Rfam family "Bacterial small subunit ribosomal RNA", at positions 183 to 1325 of the family's 1533-position model. Lineage: Bacteria; Bacillati; Bacillota; Bacilli; Lactobacillales; Enterococcaceae. The record is from RNAcentral.